Molecule: unclassified non-coding RNA, 695 nt
Filed under: Hevea brasiliensis (rubber tree)
Lineage: Eukaryota; Viridiplantae; Streptophyta; Magnoliopsida; Malpighiales; Euphorbiaceae
Source: RNAcentral
AUCAAAAUGGCAAUCAUGUGAUACAGAAGUGUAUUGAGAGCAUUCCAACAGAGAAAAUUGGCUUCAUAAUUUCUGCAUUUCGUAGUCAUGUUGCAGCACUUUCUAUGCAUCCUUAUGGUUGCCGUGUCAUACAGAGAGUUCUAGAGCGCUGUACAGAUGAGCUGCAAUGUCAGUUUAUAGUUGAUGAGAUUUUGGAUUCUGUCUGUGAACUUGCUCAGGAUCAGUAUGGCAAUUAUGUGACUCAGCAUGUGUUGGAGAGAGGAAAAUCUCAAGAAAGAUGCCAAAUUAUUAGCAAGUUGUCAGGGCAUGUUGUACAACUGAGCCAACAUAAAUUUGCAUCUAAUGUUGUUGAGAAAUGUUUGGAGUAUGGUGGUGCCACUGAACGGGAGCUAAUAAUUGAGGAAAUUCUUGGGCAGAAUGAGGGUAAUGAUAAUUUAUUGGUAAUGAUGAAGGACCAGUUUGCAAAUUAUGUUGUCCAGAAGAUUCUUGAUACAUGUACUGAUACACAGCGAGAAAUGUUGCUUAAUCGCAUAAAAACACAUGUGCAUGCUCUGAAGAAAUAUACUUACGGGAAGCACAUUGUUGCUCGGUUUGAACAGCAAUUUGGAGAAGAGAAUCAAACAUCUUGAUCGUGAUUCAUACAUUGGGAAUCAUCUUUAGAGGCAUCUGAAUGUGUCGCAACGAGAUUUCGCCGG